RNAcentral lists this long non-coding RNA (9328 nucleotides) under Aquilegia coerulea. RNAcentral describes it as "long non-coding RNA (ACOE_LNC002233)". Lineage: Eukaryota; Viridiplantae; Streptophyta; Magnoliopsida; Ranunculales; Ranunculaceae. The record is from RNAcentral.
UUUAUUAUAGUUGUACACUGAAAGUUUGUACAACCUUGAAUUGUACACAAAUUUUUUUGGUUUAAAAACAUUGUUUAAAAGCAAGCCUAGCUAUUGCCCUAAACUGUACACGAGCUUAACUUUUUUAGCGUUUAAGCGUUGUUCAAACAUGAGCCUACAACCUCAAACCUUUAAUGUAGCCCCUUGGUUCUCCAUUAAUUUUCAAAUAACAUUUUCUCCGUGAGCAACCUGCAAAGAAAGUGAACAGUUGAUCUUCAGUCAAACACGUGACUCAAUUUUCAUUUAGAAGUUCAUAAUCACCUGCAAAAGACAGGGUACAACAAAUAUCGCUCAACACAAGUUUAGCGGAAACAGUGUCAUAGAAGUACAUUAAAAGGUUGUCAUUAUUGAAUAUGCAAAUCAAGGGCUUGUAGUUCUUGUUUACCUCAGGUUGAUAAUUGUUGGCCAGCACAACUUCAGAACUCAAAGACCUAAGAGAGCUACAAUCUGACAAGAGAUAGGAAAAAACAUGAGUUAAAUAAAAUGUUCAAUGACAGACAUUAGAAACAAAUAGAAACGAUUUAAAUGACACGAGAAUCCCUGGUUUCAAUAUCAUUUUGCUUCAUGUUGGAAAAAAUAUUCUACACCAAAUAUCAAAAAGCAAGCCUUCAAUCAAUCUUUCCAAUGACCAAAUUAUGCUUAUAUUUCACAAAGAAAAUGAUUCUAAAUACACUGCAAUAUGGUACAGAUCAGAUACACGUUCAUUUAGCAGAUUUUAGAAAAUAGUGAAAGUUGACAUUAGGUUCGUAAUCCGACUACCAACAGGGUUAACAAAGCAGAACCAACGCUAGACUGGCAGUUAGAUUGAACUCAUCAUUGUGAUUAAUUAUUAAGCAAAUUAAACGUACCCGACUUAGUAUAGAUGAAGUUCUGCAACCUAGAAGUUGAGAAACGUCAGUUUGGCUCUCUAUCACAUAUUUUCACUUAGCACAAUCCAAAAAAUAUCUAUUGCCUGCAGUGGAACCACAGCAGCCAUGUUAUCCAUUCUUUCGGUCUCGAAAGCAUUGUUCAGUAUGCAUUCAGCUAACGAGUGCACACAUGAAGAAGAUAAUUGUCGCCCCAUCGCUGCAUGUAUGCACAUCCUGUAAUAGAUCACAGACAUUUAAAGGCUCAACAAACAGGCAAGUCUUGUUCAAUAUUUGAGGGCAUAUUGAGAAUAAGAUUGCUCUCAAAGAAAUUUAAGGCUUUAGAUCAAAGUUGGACGAUACAGUAGUCAUGAUAGGGACGUCUUCCUGGCAUGGUACAUGGCGGAAUCCUAAUGUCUUCCAUAACAGAGAUUUUGUUGACGAAGUAUCAAUAUCAAUGAAAUUGAUCACUGCUUCCCUCAACUCCCAUUAUCUCUCUAUCUUAGUUGUACAAAACCCAAACUCAUAACUUCAGAUGUUAUUCCCUUUAGUUUACAUUUUUGUUUCAACAGCCAUGGUAUAAAUAACUGAUGAUCAAGCCAAAUGAUGUAUGUUAUGAUCAAGCCAAAUGAUCAACUAACUUGAGCAAGUAGCCUGCUUCAGAAAAAUGGAAAAAUAUUUCUUUUAGUGCCUAUAUUAGCACUGCAUCAACUUAAAAAUUGAGUUGCAUAAUGUGGCAUAACUGUCUUUAUAUCUAAGGCUGAAAGGGUGUGGGAAGGGUGGGGUUGUAUGUUGCGAAAUUUUCAAAACCUGAUCAACUAAUUCUUAAUGCAUAGUAAAUGUGGCAGAUUAUGGACGUGAUGCUAAAUUUCGAAACUACACUAAGAAAAUAAAGAUGUUGGAGGAAGGGCUUAAACCUUCGACUUUGUGCUUUGAAAGCCACACCCUCUAACCAACUGAGUUACUCCAGCUUAUUAUGCAUGCUGUGCUAAAUGUUAUAUUCACAAGAUACAUGGCUUUGUGGUCAUAUCUAACACAUAUCAUAUGAUAUCAUUUGCAAUAGAUCAUAUGCUAAAUGUUAUAGUAAUUAUGUAUUUUUGCCAUUUAACAUAGAUCAUAUGAUAUUAAAAUUACUAACAAAUACAAAAAUUAGUUAAGUAACUACUUACUUCCUUGGAUAAUGACAUCACCAAUGACUUAGUUGCAUGCUCCUUUUUUUGUGUAUUCAUUUUUUGACCUUGUUGGUGGUGUUGCUAAAUUCUUUCCUCGUGGAUAAGUAAACAAUAACGGAUAAUUCCUCGGGAUAAAAAUUUCAAACUACUGACAAAAAAGAGAAAUUAGUAUGUAAACCACUAUCUUAUUAGCUUCACCCACUCAAAAUGCAUUUAAGUUAAUGCAAUAUCUAGUCAAGUUCGAUCAACGCUUUUCAGACCAAGGAAGAUUUCAAAUAGUGCAACCGAAUUUGUGUAAGUGUAAAUCAUGCAUAAGGAUUAAACUAAUGGGCAUCUUGUAAUGGAGGAUGCAAUGAACAUAGAAGAUAAAUCAAAAGAGAGAGAAGAUAAAUCAAAAGAGAGAGACACUCUUCAGAAGCUUAUGAUUUCAUACCCGAUAACCACACUCUUCACGAACUUAUGAUUAAAAAGUUCAAUAGUUUGUUCGUGGAAUCAACUAUUGAACUAUCAAAUCAUGUUUUCAUACCCGAAUCCCGAUAACCACUAAAAUUGUAGUAAAAGAGCAUACCCAGUGCUCCUAACUACAUAUAGCUGAAAAAUCCUCAAUACUUGCCUAUAAACUCAAACACCUACACACUCAAUCACCACAAUCUAUUAUAGCUAGACCAAAGAGCAGAAGUUGUAAUUGCUUUCAGACUUUACCAGAACUGUCCAAUUUUUUUGUUUUGUUAACCUGAAGUCUUGAACUGCUCUUUCUAAAAGUUACUGAGAUUAAGCAGGUCAGAGGUUGUAAAGACUAGAGAAGAAAGAUGCAAAUGUAGUAUGGGUCUAGAAAGAAUUGGUGAAUUUUCCACACCUUAGAGGUGUUUUAUCAUUUCAUAUAUAUACAAGAGUUUACAAUAAUCUUGGAGAGAUUUCCUCUCAAUGAUCCUAAAGAUAUUCUCUCAAUCAUAUAUUCUCUCAAUGAUCCUAAAGAUAUUCUUUCCAUAUACAUAUUAUGCACACAUGUUUAAUGUGAUCAUCUAGAAGGUUCAUCAGAGUCAUUGCUUGAUAUCUUAACACCCCCCUUCAAGAUGAUGGUACUGCAAGGACGAACCAUCAGCUUGUCACGCAGGAACUGAAAUCUGGGAACACUUAAGCCUUUAGUGAAGAUAUCCGCUGUUUGAUCGGUACUACAAACGAAAACGAUUUUUAGUGAACCAUUCAUAACUCGUUCCCUUAGAAAGUGAUAAUCAAUUUCAAUGUGUUUGGUUCUUGCAUGGAGAAUCGGAUUGGAUGCUAAAUAUGUGGCACUAAUAUUGUCGCAAUGAAGGAUGGGAGGAUGAGAUAAUGGAAUACGUAACUCACGAAGUAAAAAUGUGAGCCACUGAAGGUCAGCUGCAGUGUGAGCUAGUGCACGAUAUUCUGCUUCGGCACUUGACCUUGAAACUGUUGUUUGCUUUUUUAGUGGCCCAAGUGAUCAAGUUGCGACCAAAAUACACACAUAGACCUGUUGUCGAUCUUCUAUCGUCGGGACAACCAGCCCAAUCAGCAUCAGAGAACCCUCGAAGACAUUCAUCUUUAGAUUUAACAAGAUGAAUUCCGUAGUUAGGUGUAUUUUUAACAUAACGAAUGAUACGUUUGACGACAGCAAGGUGACUGUCUCGUGGUUGAUGCAUAAAUUGGCAAACUUGAUUGACUGCAUAAGUGAGAUCUGGGCGAGUGAUUGUGAGAUAUUGUAGAGCACCAACUAGACUCCUAUACGAGGUCGCAUCAACAAGAGAACUGGAGUCAGAUAAAGAUAGCUUUGUUCCAGCAGCAACUGGUGAUGAGCAUGGCUUAGCAAGAAGAAAGUUUGCCUUCUUAAGCAAGUUGAGAGCAUACUUGGUCUGGCUUAGCUGGAUGCCUUUCGAAUCACGAUGAACUUCAACACCUAAGAAAUAAUUUAAUGGUCCAAGAUCCUUGACAUCAAACUUCUUAUUAAGUGUUGCAAUAACCUUGGAGAGAUGACCAGUAUUUGAUCCCGUAAUGAUAAUAUCAUCGACGUAGACCAAAAGAAUUAUAAUGUCAUUAGAAGCAUACUGCAGGAACAUGGAUGUGUCGGCUUUACUUCGAAUAAAACCCAUAUCAAACAAAACAACACUGAGUUCAUCAAACCAGGUACGUGGUGCUUGUCGUAACCCAUAAAUGGACUUGUGAAGACGACAUACAUGAUUUGGAAAUUGUUUAUCGGUGAAUCCUGGAGGUUGCUUCAUGUAGACAGUUUCACGAAGAAUACCAUGUAGAAAUGCAUUUUUGAUGUCAAGUUGUCGAAUCGACCAAUUGCGAUUGCUUGCAAUGGAUAAGACAAGGCGGACAGUUGGAGGUUUAACGACUGGACUGAAUGUUUCAUCAAAGUCUAGCCCAUACUGCUGAUUGUAUCCUUUAGCAACAAGUCUGGCUUUGUGUCUUUCUAUGGUGCCAUCUGCAUGUCUUUUAAUCUUAAAGACCCAUUUGCAGCCUACAACAUUUGUUGCGUGAGAUGUGGGAACAAGUGACCAGGUACGUUGACGAAGUAGAGCAUUGAAUUCAUCAAGCAUAGCAGCCCGCCAUUCAGGAAAUUUGGAUGCUUCAGUAUAACAUGUUGGUUCUUCCAUAGGACUAUUAACCACUACUUGAAAACAUUUCGGUAAAGUAUGUUUGCUCACAAGGCCAGUAAAAGGUUGUUUUGGUCGGCUAAUACCAGCACGAAGGCGAGUCACCAUUGGGUGUUGUAUAGUUGUUGCAUCCAAGGUUUGAGGUGGUGGUGGUAAACGAGAGAUAGUCUCUUGUGAUGGUUGGGUCUCGUGUGUGGGUGGGCUUUCAGGUGUUGGUGGGCUUUCAGGUGUUGGUGGGUUUUCAUGUGGUGGUGGGGUCUCAUUGAGUUGGGGUGGAGGAAUUGGUAGUGUUGUUGAAGUGGUAACAGUAGUGGGGUUAGAGACAGUGUUGUUUUUAAAGGAUGGUGGUAAGAGAAGGCCUCUAGUAAUUGGUGGUGUGGGUUCAAUAGGAGCAAGCCAAUCUUCGAGUGACUUUGAAGCCUUAAGUGGACCUGUAGUGAGCAAUUGCGCAAAUGGAAAGAUGUCCUCAUUGAAGCGAACAUGGCGAGAUAGAUAAACUUUUCCACUUUUUGGAUCAAAGCAUCUAUAACCUUUUUGUUGGCUUCCAUAGCCCAAGAAAACACACGACACUGAUUUUGGCGAGAGUUUAUCUGCUUUAGUUGCACCAAGAAAAGGAAAACACUGGCAUCCAAAUGUACGGAGUGUAGCAUAGUCAGGAACCUUGUGAAAGAGCAUCUCAUAUGGUGACUUGUAGUUCAACCCAUGAGAAGGUAAUCUGUUAAUAAGAUAAACUGAGGUUGAGAAUGCUUCCAUCCAAAAUUUGCGUGGUAGAAAGGCAUGAUGACAAAGAGAAAGACCAUGCUCAACAAUGUGUCGGUGCUUGCGCUCAGCUUUACCAUUCUGUUCGGGCGUAUGAGGGCAAGUAAUGCGAUGUUCAAUGCCACUAUUGACAAGCAACUCUGCAAAAACUUUAUUAACAUACUCCUUUCCACCAUCAGUUUGCAAAGAUUUUAUAGUAGUGCCAAAUUGAUUUUCAACAGCAAAUUUAAAUUUUCGAAAAUAAUCAAAUGUUUCAGAUUUGCGAAUGAGAGGAUAAAUCCAUGUAUAUUUAGAAUAAUCAUCCACAAAAAUGAGAUAAUACCUGAAACCACCAUGAGAUAGUUCAGGUGCAGGACCCCAUAAAUCUGAAUGAAUAAGUUGCAAAGGGGCAGUGGAUUUAAAUAAAGAUCUUAAAAACGGCAAACGACAACUUUUAUUAAUAGAACAACUCAAACAGUUAGGAAUUUUAGAACUUCCAAUAAACUGAAGGCACUUAUGUUUCACUAAAUGAUGUAAAAUAUUUGGUCCAGGAUGACCAAGUCGCUUGUGCCAAUUAGCUAAGGUAGAACUUUUCCGAACCAUGGCUGUGUAAAAAUGGGGAAAAGAGCCAUGGCGUUGUGCUUGCAUAGGGAAGAGUGAGUUUUUACUCUUUCCUUGAUGAAGUAACUUCCCUGUCCGUCGAUCCUUUAUAUAAAAACCACCACGAACAAAAGUGAAUUUGCAAUCAUUAUCAUAAACAAAACGAUAGACGGAAAGUAAAUUUGCUGUUAAAUUUGGCACAUAUAAAAUAUCUUUCAACUGAAAAUUAGAAGAUGGUGUGGAAAGUAUCAAAUCACCAGUAGCUUCGAUAGGUAGGGUCUUACCAUUUGCAACAGUAACCUGAUCAGAUCCAUGAUAAGUUUGACGAUUGAUCAUGUUCGAGUCAUCCGGAGUCAUAUGAUUUGUUGCUCCAGAAUCUGGGAACCAUGUUGAUUCACACGGUGCAGAAAAACUCAUAGCNNNNNNNNNNNNNNNNNNNNNNNNNNNNNNNNNNNNNNNNNNNNNNNNNNNNNNNNNNNNNNNNNNNNNNNNNNNNNNNNNNNNNNNNNNNNNNNNNNNNAGGAAGAUCAUCACCUUGAUUUGAAGUAUUGUUUUGUCGGUAAGUGGUUGCACCAUGUCCCGCAUUGUUGCAAUGAUGACAAUCAGGAUGUGAGUUGUGAGAAGUAUAAGAGUAGCCCCGACCAUUACCACGACCUCUAUAGGAACCACGACCAUUUCCACGGCCUCUGUAAGAACCACGUCCAUUCCCUCGACCACGAGAAUAUGAACGACCAUGACCCCGAUUGUUUGAGACAAAGAAGGCGCUGGUUUCACGAUCAGAGUGAGGCUGAUGAUAUAUUUCCAAACGUUUCUCCCGAUUGAGGAGCAUGCUGUAUAGUUCUUCAAAUGAUGGAGGACUACACAUAGCCUGGACCGUAUUAACAACAACAUCGUAAUCAAGAUCUAGGCCAUCAAGAACACAACCGACCAAGUCUCGAGUGGUCAAAGGAUGCUGAAUGAGAGAGAGUUCAUCAGAAAGCAUUUUAAUACGAUCCAUAUACUCAGUAAUAGUUGAGGAACCUUUCUUCAUGUUUGAUAGUUCAUGUUUGAUCUGAUAAUAUCGAGCAUUUGUUUGAGACAUAUAAGCACGAUCUAAUGCUUCCCAAGUUUCACGGGCAGUCUUGUAGCCAACAACCUGCGCAAACACUGGAGGUGUUAAUGUAGCAUGAAUCCAACUAAGAAGAAUUUGAUCUUUCUUCUUCCAUUCAAUGAACUUUGGGUUUAUAACAGUGGUUGCAUUCACUGCAACUACUUCUUGUGGGGUAGAGAUAGUACCAUCAACCAUACUCAACAUAUCAGUUCCAUAAAGAAUAGGAAGUAAUUGACUUUUCCAUAACAAAUAAUUUGUUCGAUCAAGUUUGAUUGCGACCUGGGAUAAAUUUGGUAUUCCAGGAAUGCAAGAUGGGAAGUAAGAUGAUGAAGAAGAGGUGGAAGAUAACGAGGGAGAUGAAGAAGGAGUCAUUAGGACAGGAUUCAAGAGACCUGUGAAACCUGCUCUGAUACCAAGAAAGAAUUGGUGAAUUUUCCACACCUUAGAGGUGUUUUAUCAUUUCAUAUAUAUACAAGAGUUUACAAUAAUCUUGGAGAGAUUUCCUCUCAAUGAUCCUAAAGAUAUUCUCUCAAUCAUAUAUUCUCUCAAUGAUCCUAAAGAUAUUCUUUCCAUAUACAUAUUAUGCACACAUGUUUAAUGUGAUCAUCUAGAAGGUUCAUCAGAGUCAUUGCUUGAUAUCUUAACAGGUCUCACCUGCAACCUGUGAGCUAAGAAUCUUAUCACCAUCAGAGGAAGGUUUUCGAUAUCUACCCAUCUGUUCUGGCCUUAGCCAACACCUAAGGGUCGCUAUCUUGAACAAACCCUUGCUCUAAAGCAAUAUGCAAAAUACAUCAAACACCAUUUGAAAAUCCCAAAUAACAAUAAAAUAACAGAUCUGGAGUUUCUUGUUGGUUUUACACUUAUAAACCGUCAUACUUGUGUUCACUGAUCUGAAACUUAAAGUAAGGUGCUGUUUGUUUUUCCACUUUUCUAGUAACUAGUAGCUUAUAAGCUAUUAGAUCAGCCAAAAGCCCGUUUGUUUUUUUGGGCUUAUAAGAUUUUCUAGUAGAAAAUCGCUAGUUAGUAGGCGGUUACUAUAAGCUCCAGGAUGGAGCUUAUAGGUAGUAGAAAUAUCUGAUAGGAUGUAAAAUUACAUCUAAAACCCUUCUUAAUAAUUAAAAUUACUAUUCAAACCAAAAUCAAAACUGAAAAUUUACAUGGGUUAUGUUUGUUCUAUUUUCGUGGUCUUUUUCUAUUAUUUUAAAAAUUAUUUUAUUGUAUUCAUUCAUUAAGAGAUACUAUUAUUUGUUAUGGUGUAAUAUUAUUUCAUUAAAAAUUUUCUAUGUGUAGUAAAAUAAAAUAAUUAUAGAACAUAAGUCCAUUUUUUUAACGAGGGUAUAUUAGUAAAAAAAGAAUAUAUAAAUAGAUUCAGAAGUGGUAAAAACAAACAGGUAGAACUUAUAAGAAUAGCUUAUAAAAAAUUAUUCAAAAUAAAAACAAACAACAUAUCUUAUAAGCUAUUAGACAUCUAAUAGCUUAUAAGCUACUAGCUAUUAGAACUUGAAAAAACAAACAUCACCUAAAUUUUAAUUGAGCAUCCGCUAUAAAAAUAUUUUCAAUCAGUUAAGAAGAGAACCGCAACAUGAGAAGCAGACCACUUUCUUAUGGCCUACCAUGCCAUUCUCUAAUGGAGAAUGAGGAAUUAAAUUGUAAAUAGCAAUAAUAUAAAGCACUAUAUGAAUACAAUAGAAAGGUAAUUAAAAAGGCGAUCAGAUUGGUGAGAUUACUCAAAAUGAGACAUUGUCCAUAUUUAAUUGAUGAGACAAUACCGAAUACCAAUAACUUCAGAAGCAAAUCUCUGCAUUUCAGGCUCUAACAAUCAUAUUACCUUUCUAAAUUUCUGAGACGUACUUUUUCAGGUAAAAAACUCCUGCUUAUACGUUUUCUAAGAAUAAAAGUUACAUUAUAUGAAGAGAAAUAUAAAUAGCUCCCAGCACUCAAAAACACUAUAAAAUAAUGUUCAAUAAAAAAAAUACCUAGAAAAUAUAUAUACUCCAGUAUGAUUGAGAUAGAUACCUAAGAAUAUAACUUUCAAUUGCCAUAGUAAUAUACAAAAUCAUUCCCUUCAAUUUUGUUUCUAUUCCUGAUUCUAAGCUUUAUGAAGUAAUGCUAAGAUUAACAUUGGAGAUUCAAGAUACACUCACCAUUCACAGAAAAUUAGUUUGUGAUUGGAAAGAGUUCGUUGCUGGUUAUGGACUUGGUCUGUGGUGGAGUGACGAUAAUCUAUCU